UACGGAGGUGGCUAGCGUUGUUCGGAAUUACUGGGCGUAAAGGGCGCGUAGGCGGCAUUGCAAGUCAGAUGUGAAAGCCCCGGGCUUAACUCGGGAACUGCAUCUGAAACUGCUUUGCUUGAGUCCUGGAGGGGGUAGUGGAAUUCCCAGUGUAGCGGUGAAAUGCGUAGAUAUUGGGAGGAACACCUGCGGCGAAGGCGGCUACCUGGACAGUGACUGACGCUGAGGCGCGAAAGCUAGGGGAGCGAACGGG
This 253-nucleotide ribosomal RNA is filed under the name uncultured bacterium. Its description in RNAcentral is "partial 16S ribosomal RNA". It matches the Rfam family "Bacterial small subunit ribosomal RNA", at positions 524 to 776 of the family's 1533-position model. The record is from RNAcentral.